This 75-nucleotide transfer RNA is filed under the name Siphoviridae sp. ctqw35. RNAcentral describes it as "tRNA-Trp". It matches the Rfam family "tRNA". From Rfam's summary of the family: Transfer RNA (tRNA) molecules are approximately 80 nucleotides in length. Lineage: Duplodnaviria; Heunggongvirae; Uroviricota; Caudoviricetes. The record is from RNAcentral.
GCAAGUUUAGUGUAACGGUAGCACAACAGUCUCCAAAACUGUUAAGUAGUGGUUCAAAUCCAUUAACUUGUGCCA